Non-coding RNA from Myotis daubentonii (Daubenton's bat), 554 nucleotides. Lineage: Eukaryota; Metazoa; Chordata; Mammalia; Chiroptera; Vespertilionidae. The record is from the annotation of a RefSeq genome assembly.
CCCCAGGGAGCAUCUGAGCCACCACUUCUUCUGAGAAACCAGAACCAGCCCCGCCCCCUGCCACUGGUCUGCGAACAGGGACCUCAGUGUCUUCCCUUCUCCCUGGGAGCUGCUUGGUGCACAGGAUGCCACCACUGGAAGCUGUCAUCUUCCUCUCCCUCUGGGCCUUUGGCCUUGGGCAGUUAAAGUUGGAGCAACCUGUAAUAUCAGUUUCCAGUGCAAGGGAUGAGAGUGCCCAGAUACCUUGUAAGGUGUCCUCUGGCACCUUUGGCAAAGAUUACAUUCACUGGUACCGGCAGAAACCAGAUCAGAGUAUAGAACAUUUAAUACAAGUUGCCUCCACAGCCACUGUUUUUGGGAAGAACAGCAAAUUUAAGGCAAGUAAAUAUACACAAACUUCAACUUCUACCUUGACAAUAAAUUUCUUAGAAAAAGAAGAUGAGGCCGUGUACUUCUGUGCCUGCUGGACUGGCAUACACAGCAUUAGAGAUGCCAGGAUGAGCUGCACAAGAACCAUCAUCAGUCUGUGCCCACCCACAUCCUUCUCUCAAUGA